AGUGAACGCUGGCGGUAGGCCUAACACAUGCAAGUCGAACGGCAGCACAGAGGAGCUUGCUCCUUGGGUGGCGAGUGGCGGACGGGUGAGGAAUACAUCGGAAUCUACUCUGUCGUGGGGGAUAACGUAGGGAAACUUACGCUAAUACCGCAUACGACCUACGGGUGAAAGCAGGGGACCUUCGGGCCUUGCGCGAUUGAAUGAGCCGAUGUCGGAUUAGCUAGUUGGCGGGGUAAAGGCCCACCAAGGCGACGAUCCGUAGCUGGUCUGAGAGGAUGAACAGCCACACUGGAGCUGAGACACGGUCCAGACUCCUACGGGAGGCAGCAGUGGGGAAUAUUGGACAAUGGGCGCAAGCCUGAUCCAGCCAUACCGCGUGGGUGAAGAAGGCCUUCGGGUUGUAAAGCCCUUUUGUUGGGAAAGAAAUCCAGCUGGCUAAUACCCGGUUGGGAUGACGGUACCCAAAGAAUAAGCACCGGCUAACUUCGUGCCAGCCGCCGCAGUAA
Molecule: ribosomal RNA, 506 nt
Filed under: uncultured bacterium
Lineage: Bacteria
Description: partial 16S ribosomal RNA
Rfam family: Bacterial small subunit ribosomal RNA
Source: RNAcentral